UACCGACGCAGACGCCCAGAGAACCCU
Molecule: non-coding RNA, 27 nt
Filed under: Cricetulus griseus (Chinese hamster)
Lineage: Eukaryota; Metazoa; Chordata; Mammalia; Rodentia; Cricetidae
Also listed under: 1 other name
Source: RNAcentral